RNAcentral lists this ribosomal RNA (443 nucleotides) under uncultured bacterium. RNAcentral's name for it is "partial 16S ribosomal RNA". It matches the Rfam family "Bacterial small subunit ribosomal RNA", at positions 338 to 795 of the family's 1533-position model. The record is from RNAcentral.
CCUACGGGCGGCAGCAGUGGGGAAUAUUGGGCAAUGGGCGCAAGCCUGACCCAGCAACGCCGCGUGAAGGAAGAAGGCUCUCGGGUUGUAAACUUCUUUUAUCAGGGACGAAGCAAGUGACGGUACAGGAUGAAUAAGCCACGGCUAACUACGUGCCAGCAGCCGCGGUAAUACGUAGGUGGAAAGCGUUAUCCGGAUUUACUGGGGGGAAAGGGAUUGUAGGCGGGAAAGCAAGUUAGAUGUGAAAACCAUGGGCUCAACCUGUGGCCUGCAUUUGAAACUGGUUGUCUUGAGUACAGGAGAGGAGGACGGAAUUCCUAGUGUAGCGGUGAAAUGCGUAGAGAUUAGGAGGAACACCAGUGGCGAAGGCGGUUUGCUGGACAGCAACUGACGCUGAGGCGCGAAAGCGUGGGGAGCAAACAGGAUUAGAUACCCGUGUAGUC